Harpia harpyja (harpy eagle) is the source of this 614-nucleotide long non-coding RNA. RefSeq lists it as uncharacterized. The transcript is spliced from 2 exons. The record is from RefSeq and is a predicted model, not a curated record. Lineage: Eukaryota; Metazoa; Chordata; Aves; Accipitriformes; Accipitridae.
UAAGACUCUAUCAGCUUGCCACAGGGCUUUUACAGGUUUCUUUGGAGCACUUUGUACCAGUCACCGUCAGAGAAAAGGUUUUGAACUAGAUGAAUCUGGACCUGCCUAUGCUGGUUACAUCUCUGUAUUGAAACUUCAUUUCUGAGUUGCUGUCCUCUCUGUAGACUCCAGCACUAAAUUACUCGUGAGUUUACUUGAGUUACUAUCAUCUUGUACAGAAUUUUUUUCUGUCACUUCCUAGGUAAUGAGACAUUUUAACAGUAGAUUUUGAACUAAUUCACAGAACUGCACAGAGACCAAACUAUAGCUUGCAUUCCUUGGCUGCCUGUAGAUGUGCAAAUUGCAGUGGAGGCAGGAACCCCCUUGUGCCUGACAACCAACCUGUGAGUACCUGUCUUGGACAAGGACUGUGCUGCCUUCCUCCGUGCAUUUCUCACUUCCAUCCUGGAUCACUGCACGCAUUCUCAUCAGAACAAAGGUAAUCUGAGCUAAUUCAGAAGUGUGCACCUGUACUCUGUAUUGUAUCAUACACAGAUAAUGGCAUGGCAUGGGGGUUAAUCAAUGUAAUGCCUGCCUCAGUAAAAAGCCAGUAAAAACUAAAUGCAGUGAACCUA